RNAcentral lists this ribosomal RNA (253 nucleotides) under uncultured bacterium. Its description in RNAcentral is "partial 16S ribosomal RNA". It matches the Rfam family "Bacterial small subunit ribosomal RNA", at positions 524 to 776 of the family's 1533-position model. The record is from RNAcentral.
UACGUAGGGUGCGAGCGUUAAUCGGAAUUACUGGGCGUAAAGCGUGCGCAGGCGGUUUUGUAAGUCUGUCGUGAAAUCCCCGGGCUCAACCUGGGAACUGCGUUUGAAACUACAAGGCUAGAGUGUAGCAGAGGGGGGUAGAAUUCCACGUGUAGCAGUGAAAUGCGUAGAGAUGUGGAGGAAUACCAAUGGCGAAGGCAGCCCCCUGGGUUAACACUGACGCUCAUGCACGAAAGCGUGGGGAGCAAACAGG